GAUGAACGCUGGCGGCGUGCCUAAUACAUGCAAGUCGAGCGAACAGACGAGGAGCUUGCUCCUCUGACGUUAGCGGCGGACGGGUGAGUAACACGUGGAUAACCUACCUAUAAGACUGGGAUAACUUCGGGAAACCGGAGCUAAUACCGGAUAAUAUAUUGAACCGCAUGGUUCAAUAGUGAAAGACGGUUUUGCUGUCACUUAUAGAUGGAUCCGCGCCGCAUUAGCUAGUUGGUAAGGUAACGGCUUACCAAGGCAACGAUGCGUAGCCGACCUGAGAGGGUGAUCGGCCACACUGGAACUGAGACACGGUCCAGACUCCUACGGGAGGCAGCAGUAGGGAAUCUUCCGCACUGGGCGAAAGCCUGACGGAGCAACGCCGCGUGAGUGAUGAAGGUCUUCGGAUCGUAAAACUCUGUUAUUAGGGAAGAACAAAUGUGUAAGUAACUAUGCACGUCUUGACGGUACCUACUCAGAAAGCCACGGCUAACUACGUG
This 497-nucleotide ribosomal RNA is filed under the name uncultured bacterium. RNAcentral describes it as "partial 16S ribosomal RNA". It matches the Rfam family "Bacterial small subunit ribosomal RNA", at positions 28 to 507 of the family's 1533-position model. The record is from RNAcentral.